GGUCUCGUGGCGGAAUUGGUAGACGCGCCAGCCUCAAAAGCUGGUGGGCUUAGCCCGUGUGGGUUCGAGUCCCACCGAGACUAC
Molecule: transfer RNA, 84 nt
Filed under: Mycobacterium phage Chaser
Lineage: Duplodnaviria; Heunggongvirae; Uroviricota; Caudoviricetes; Vilmaviridae
Also listed under: 1 other name
Description: tRNA-Leu
Rfam family: tRNA
About the family: Transfer RNA (tRNA) molecules are approximately 80 nucleotides in length.
Source: RNAcentral